GUGCUUGCUUGGGCGGCACAUAUAGUAACAUUGGAAAGAUACAGAGAUUAGCAUGGUCUCUCUGCAGAGGAUGACAUGCAAAUUUGUGACAUAAAAUAACCCCAA
This is a small nuclear RNA of Sarcophilus harrisii (Tasmanian devil), 105 nucleotides long. The record is from Ensembl. NCBI's taxonomy places the organism in Eukaryota, Metazoa, Chordata, Mammalia, Dasyuromorphia, Dasyuridae.